GGCCACUUCCGGGAGUCGGAAAGGAAGGCUCCGGGUCCACCCUGGCAACCCGGGUGUUUGGCUGGGUUCUAGCGUGGCCGUCUGUGUGGCCGGUGGGGGACCUGCGGUCGGAGUGGGAGGGCCAGUCUGCACCCAAGAGGUGGAAGAGGACGGGCUUUAGGCUGGAAGCGCCUUAGAGGAGCCAUUUUUCCAGGAUGCCUGGUUUGCUUUUAUGUGAACCGACAGAGCUUUACAACAUCCUGAAUCAGGCCACAAAACUCUCCAGAUUAACAGACCCCAACUAUCUCUGUUUAUUGGAUGUCCGUUCCAAAUGGGAGUAUGAUGAAAGCCAUGUGAUCACUGCCCUUGGAGUGAAGAAGAAAAAUAAUGAGUAUCUUCUCCCGGAGUCUGUGGACCUGGAGUGUGUGAAGUACUGCGUGGUGUAUGAUAACAACAGCAGCACCCUGGAGAUACUCUUAAAUGAUGAUGAUGAUGAUUCAGACUCUGAUGGUGAUGGCAAAGAUCUUGUGCCUCAAGCAGCCAUUGAGUAUGGCAGGAUCCUGACCCGCCGCACCCACCACCCCGUCUACAUCCUGAAAGGGGGCUAUGAGCGCUUCUCAGGCACGUACCACUUUCUCCGGACCCAGAAGAUCAUCU
RNAcentral lists this small RNA (636 nucleotides) under Pan troglodytes (chimpanzee). RNAcentral's name for it is "processed transcript". Lineage: Eukaryota; Metazoa; Chordata; Mammalia; Primates; Hominidae. The record is from RNAcentral.